AAAGUCCUGUUGCAUUCUGGCCACACCCCUCUCACACCCUGUGGCAUGAUCUUGUAGAAAACUUGUCUUCCUUAACACCUAAACCAAAAUUCUGUGGACGUUUCUCCCAAGACCAAGCAACUAGAGGAAGACUCCUCUCUGCUUUUGUGUGUCUGUGAACAAAAUGUUCUGUGGCUUCUCAUCGGUCAUGCUGCCAGCUUCCUGCUCAGGACUUGUGAUUCUGUUGAUCCUCAGAGGAACCAGUGGAGACUCCGUGACCCAGACAGAAGGCCUGGUCACCCUCCUGGAAGGCACAGAACUAACCUUGAACUGCACUUAUCAGACCAGCUAUACAUCGUUCCUUUACUGGUACAUCCAGUAUCAACACCGAGGGCUUGAGCUCCUCCUGAAAAGCUCAUCUGAAACCCAGGAGGUGAGCAGCAAAGGCUUCCUGGCCAGUCAUGUCAAGAGUCAGAGUUCCUUCCACCUGAGGAAAACCACUGUGAAAAUGUCAGACUCAGCCAUGUACUUCUGUGCUCUGCAGACACAGUGAGAGUAGUUGCAGGGGGAGCUGAACACAAACCCUGAGGGUGCAGGUGAGGCUUGACUGUGUGCAGUCCUGAUAGGAGCUGUCUUCCCUUGCUAGCGUCCUAUCCUGGAGGCUUCCAACUUUGAUGCAACAGAGCCCAGGAGCCAUAGAGUUCUUGGAUGACUCCCCAGAGAGGAAUUGUGGCUGAAUCAGAGUCGAGGGAAAUUAAAGCUGUGAUUUUUAGCAAGACUUCUCUUUUUAGUACCUCUGUCUCUUCUAUAAUGGACAAAUAUUCUUAAGCAGUAAUGCCAACUUUGGUAUAUGCUCAGUUGAUCUGUGCUGAAAUAUUUCACAAAGUGUUUACAAAAUUCCCCAGAGGGGGGAAAAUUUCACAGGCUAUGUGUGACCUUGAAUCUUUUAACUCCUGGAAUCAGGAUUGUAUGC
Non-coding RNA from Ochotona curzoniae (black-lipped pika), 952 nucleotides. NCBI's taxonomy places the organism in Eukaryota, Metazoa, Chordata, Mammalia, Lagomorpha, Ochotonidae. The record is from the annotation of a RefSeq genome assembly.